UACGGAGGAUCCGAGCGUUAUCCGGAUUUAUUGGGUUUAAAGGGAGCGUAGGCGGGUUGUUAAGUCAGUUGUGAAAGUUUGCGGCUCAACCGUAAAAUUGCAGUUGAUACUGGCAUCCUUGAGCACAGUAGAGGUAGGCGGAAUUCGUGGUGUAGCGGUGAAAUGCUUAGAUAUCACGAAGAACUCCGAUUGCGAAGGCAGCCUGCUGGACUGUAACUGACGCUGAUGCUCGAAAGUGUGGGUAUCAAACAGG
Molecule: ribosomal RNA, 253 nt
Filed under: uncultured bacterium
Lineage: Bacteria
Description: partial 16S ribosomal RNA
Rfam family: Bacterial small subunit ribosomal RNA
Source: RNAcentral